RNAcentral lists this ribosomal RNA (1343 nucleotides) under uncultured bacterium. Its description in RNAcentral is "16S ribosomal RNA". It matches the Rfam family "Bacterial small subunit ribosomal RNA", at positions 28 to 1378 of the family's 1533-position model. The record is from RNAcentral.
GACGAACGUUGGCGGCGUGCUUAACACAUGCAAGUCGAACGGAAAGGCCCUGCUUUUGUGGGGUGCUCGAGUGGCGAACGGGUGAGUAACACGUGAGUAACCUGCCCUUGACUUUGGGAUAACUUCAGGAAACUGGGGCUAAUACCGGAUAGGAGCUCCUGCUGCAUGGUGGGGGUUGGAAAGUUUCGGCGGUUGGGGAUGGACUCGCGGCUUAUCAGCUUGUUGGUGGGGUAGUGGCUUACCAAGGCUUUGACGGGUAGCCGGCCUGAGAGGGUGACCGGCCACAUUGGGACUGAGAUACGGCCCAGACUCCUACGGGAGGCAGCAGUGGGGAAUAUUGCACAAUGGGCGGAAGCCUGAUGCAGCAACGCCGCGUGCGGGAUGACGGCCUUCGGGUUGUAAACCGCUUUCGCCUGUGACGAAGCGUGAGUGACGGUAAUGGGUAAAGAAGCACCGGCUAACUACGUGCCAGCAGCCGCGGUGAUACGUAGGGUGCGAGCGUUGUCCGGAUUUAUUGGGCGUAAAGGGCUCGUAGGUGGUUGAUCGCGUCGGAAGUGUAAUCUUGGGGCUUAACCCUGAGCGUGCUUUCGAUACGGGUUGACUUGAGGAAGGUAGGGGAGAAUGGAAUUCCUGGUGGAGCGGUGGAAUGCGCAGAUAUCAGGAGGAACACCAGUGGCGAAGGCGGUUCUCUGGGCCUUUCCUGACGCUGAGGAGCGAAAGCGUGGGGAGCGAACAGGCUUAGAUACCCUGGUAGUCCACGCUGUAAACGGUGGGUACUAGGUGUGGGGUCCAUUCCACGGGUUCCGUGCCGUAGCUAACGCUUUAAGUACCCCGCCUGGGGAGUACGGCCGCAAGGCUAAAACUCAAAGGAACUGACGGGGCCCCGCACAAGCGGCGGAGCAUGCGGAUUAAUUCGAUGCAACGCGUAGAACCUUACCUGGGUUUGACAUGGAUCGGGAGUGCUCAGAGAUGGGUGUGCCUCUUUUGGGGUCGGUUCACAGGUGGUGCAUGCCUGUCGUCAGCUCGUGUCGUGAGAUGUUGGGUUAAGUCCCGCAACGAGCGCAACCCUUGUUCACUGUUGCCGGCACGUUAUGGUGGGGACUCAGUGGAGACCGCCGGGGUCAACUCGGAGGAAGGUGGGGAUGACGUCAAGUCCUCAUGCCCCUUAUGUCCAGGGCUUCACGCAUGCUACAAUGGCUGGUACAGAGAGUGGCGAGCCUGUGAGGGUGAGCGAAUCUCGGAAAGCCGGUCUCAGUUCGGAUUGGGGGCUGCAACUCGACCUCAUGAAGUCGGAGUCGCUAGUAAUCGCAAAUCAGCAACGCUGCGGUGAAUACGUUCCCGGG